UGGCGAACGGGUGAGUAACACGUGAGUAACCUGCCCUUGACUCUGGGAUAAGCGCUGGAAACGGCGUCUAAUACCGGAUACGACCUGCCCCGGCAUCGGGUGCGGGUGGAAAGUUUUUCGGUCAAGGAUGGACUCGCGGCCUAUCAGGUAGUUGGUGAGGUAAUGGCUCACCAAGCCGACGACGGGUAGCCGGCCUGAGAGGGUGACCGGCCACACUGGGACUGAGACACGGCCCAGACUCCUACGGGAGGCAGCAGUGGGGAAUAUUGCACAAUGGGCGAAAGCCUGAUGCAGCAACGCCGCGUGGGGGAUGACGGCCUUCGGGUUGUAAACCUCUUUUAGUAGGGAAGAAGGGCUUCGGCUUGACGGUACCUGCAGAAAAAGCACCGGCUAACUACGUGCCAGCAGCCGCGGUAAUACGUAGGGUGCAAGCGUUGUCCGGAAUUAUUGGGCGUAAAGAGCUCGUAGGCGGUUUGUCGCGUCUGCUGUGAAAACCCGAGGCUCAACCUCGGGCCUGCAGUGGGUACGGGCAGACUAGAGUGCGGUAGGGGAGAAUGGAAUUCCUGGUGUAGCGGUGGAAUGCGCAGAUAUCAGGAGGAACACCGAUGGGCGAAGGCAGUUCUCUGGGCCGUUACUGACGCUGAGGAGCGAAAGCGUGGGGAGCGAACAGGAUUAGAUACCCUGGUAGUCCACGCCGUAAACGUUGGGAACUAGAUGUGGGGACCUUUCCACGGUCUCCGUGUCGCAGCUAACGCAUUAAGUUCCCCGCCUGGGGGAGUACGGCCGCAAGGCUAAAACUCAAAGGAAUUGACGGGGGGCCCGCACAAGCGGCGGGAGCAUGCCGGAUUAAUUUCGAUGCAACGCGAAGAACCUUACCAAGGCUUGACAUAUACCGGAAACUUCCAGAAAUGGUUGCCCCGCAAGGUCGGUAUACAGGUGGUGCAUGGUUGUCGUCAGCUCGUGUCGUGAGAUGUUGGGUUAAGUCCCGCAACGAGCGCAACCCUCGUUCUAUGUUGCCAGCACGUCAUGGUGGGAACUCAUAGGAGACUGCCGGGGUCAACUCGGAGGAAGGUGGGGAUGACGUCAAAUCAUCAUGCCCCUUAUGUCUUGGGCUUCACGCAUGCUACAAUGGCCGGUACAAAGGGCUGCGAUACCGUAAGGUGGAGCGAAUCCCAAAAAGCCGGUCUCAGUUCGGAUUGAGGUCUGCAACUCGACCUCAUGAAGUCGGAGUCGCUAGUAAUCGCAGAUCAGCAACGCUGCGGUGAAUACGUUCCCGGGCCUUGUACACACCGCCCGUCAAGUCAUGAAAGUCGGUAACACCCGAAGCCAGUGGCCUAACCG
This 1341-nucleotide ribosomal RNA is filed under the name Rathayibacter sp. HW04-01. RNAcentral describes it as "bacterial SSU rRNA". It matches the Rfam family "Bacterial small subunit ribosomal RNA", at positions 96 to 1441 of the family's 1533-position model. The record is from RNAcentral. Lineage: Bacteria; Bacillati; Actinomycetota; Actinomycetes; Micrococcales; Microbacteriaceae.